CCGCCACCUGUAGCGAUUGUGACAUUGGUCGCUCAUCAACACGAUCGUCAACGCAUCUGGCUGGUACUUUGACAGCCAAUUGUAGAAGUGGUGAAAUGUACACGGAUCGCUUCACUCAUAUUCAGAUUCAGAACGAGGAAUACUUCACUGAAGAUGAUGUGAAAUGGCUAUCAGUUUUGAUCAGUUCAACAUGAUUGUAUUCACCCGUGGACGGAUAUCCACAACCAAUCAUAAACGUAGAGCGCGGUCCAGGAUCGGAAGAAUGCCGACGUGGAAUGCGGUGGCGAGGAAAUUGAAACUACUCGGCGUCGGCACGCCCGGCUUCCCUAAAAUUCGGGUCAGUCUUUAAUACCGAGAGUUGGAAAACCACGGCGAACAAAGACCAAGGGAGGAAGGAGUAAUCGGUCCUGAACCAAAUAUUGUAGUCAGAACACAUGGGAAAAUACAUCAGUAUCUUCAAUUGAACAAAGGGUUCAAAAACUAGAAUAUAGUUAUCAGGUCAGAUAGCCAAGCAGCCAUCAAAACACUAAGUUCAAGCAAGAUGUUGCUGUAACUAAAUAAGGCAUACAAAACAGUCAUCCUCUGUUCAGUCCCAGGACUGGUCGGAGUAGAGGGCAACGUGAACGCGAACGCCCCAAGAAAAGGGGCUGCUAUAAUGCUGAAAGGUCCUGAGCCCUUCUGUGGCAUAGGGAUUCACAUUAUCAAAAAGCAUAUUACAUUAGACAAAGACAAAUUGUGGAAUUUAUUCUACUAUAUUGCACGUAUACAUAAAUGGACAUAAAUCCAAGAAUCGUCUAGCAGAUGUUGGAAGGAAAGAAACAACAGAUUGCAUCAAAGGAGGCAAGAAAGACUUCGAAUUACGAUAGGAUUCUUGACAGGAUCCUACAGACCGAUUGGGCGUCGAAGAAGAUUGGUAUAAUCCAACAUGUCAUUUCUUCAAAGAAGCAAAGGAUACACCAACAUACCUACUUUCAAACUAUGACGCCACAUUUGCCAGCAAGAAGAAGUGUUUUGGGAUGUACAUAGUGUCCGUAGAAGAAAUUUAACGACUCAAAUUCGGCCUAUUAAUCAAGUUACUUGAUGAGCUAAGACCCACCGUUGCGCUAUAUAGCUUUUUUCAGUUAAAUUGGUACUUUUUUCUACCAAUUUAAUACUUUUUCCAACUAAAUUAGUGCUUUUCCCAAGGGAUUUAAUACUUUUCCCAACCAACUUAGUACCCUUCCCAACCAAAUUAAUACUUUUCCCAAGCAAAUUAAUACUUUUCCCGGGCAAUUUAAUACUUUUCAAAGGAGGUGGAGUAAAGGGGGGAUAUCAAACAUAAUCAUACUGUCAAGAAACGAAAUUUAUUAUUGAAAAUAAGAAAAUUACAAAAUGAACAUUAUAACAGCAAAUGUAGAUUAAAUCCUGAUUCAUCUAUAAAAAUUAAUUUUGCUCGAUUUUGGGGGACCCAUAUUUCAAAAUCCAUUGCAAGUGCCUUCGUUGUUGUACCAUUGACUCAGAAUUCAUGCGAUCUAUUUCAAUGGACGCACGCUUCAAAGUUAUUUUUAAUGACGUUAGCCCUCGGUGUAUUGAAGAAAUAGACAAAUUUAUGUUGCGUAAUGCAAGCUGUUCUUUAAUAUCUUGUAAUGAUAGGCCCGCGUUUCCUUCAAUGAUUUCCUCAAUAGCGGCUAGAAUGACAUAAGUGGUCAACUUGUGCAGCCGGGGUCCACCUCUUUUUUUAAUUACUAACGUACAGUUUUGAGACGUAUAAUUUCUGUAUAUACUGCAGCCAGUUCGAGUUUUUAUAUUUAAUUUUUGGGCUGCAUUUUGACUGAAUGACCCUCUUCAACUAAUUUUAUAAAAAUUUCUUUUUGAUGCCUUGAUGUAACUGCGUACGUACCCCUGCUCGGUCUUGAACGUUGGACACCGGACGAAGAUGAACCGCCUGCAGCACUAGGCGAUGUUUCAUCAUUAUGACCACUUAUGUCACUCCAGUCACUUCCGUCACUCAUUCUAUAUAUAAAAACUCACGCAAUGCAUACAAUAAGACGAGACAAACAACUGAAUAUUUUAGGGGUAAAGAAACCAAGAAUAGGGGAAGGAGAAUUUCCUAGAAAUCCGUCUGGGAACGAUAAGGUAGGCUGGCGAACUCAAUGAAAUCAGUGAGACAAGUUCAAACGAAACCAGCUAAUAAAGUGUUUCAUACGGCAACACGCUAUGCUCCACAUUUUUUCAAAUACCUUUUAAAUAAGUAUUAAUUUGCUUGGGAAAAGUAUUAACUUGCUUGAGAAAGGUACUAAUUUGGUUGGGAAAAAUAUGAAAUUGCUUGAGAAAAGUAUUAAAUCGCUUGGGAAAAGUAUUAACUUGCUUGAGAAAGGUACUAAUUUGGUUGGGAAAAAUAUUAAAUUGGUAGAAAAAAGUACCAAUUUGACUGAAAAAAGCUAUAAAUACGGAAAUUCUCAUAGGGCCCACUAUACGCCCCGAACAUUACAUCUACAUCUAAUUUUUUUUGCUUUGCCAGAGGCAUUUAUCAAUUGUCCAAGUGAAGGGCAAAUAAAAAAAAAUACAAAGUUUUAAAAAGUUAUAAACAAUCAUAAAUAUUAUAAAUAAUGUAAGACCUAAGACCCUCCACAUUGCAAUGAUACAAUUUAAACAUGUCACAAUCCAAAAAGCAACAAUUGACAACGAUAGCAAAUAACAAAUUAUACUAAUGAACAGUUAUGUAUUAACGCAUUAACGAAUAAUUAUAAUAUAUAUAGCACACUCGCUUAUGGAAAUGUCCGCAGCCCAGGGAUAAAAUUCCCGAUUUGCUGGAGAGCCAUCCUCGGAUGCGGCACCCCAGAGAUCAGAUACAAGUAAGGCAGCUCAGCCUUCAGUCAGUAAUACCACUGCCUGCAAAAGGAAUAGAUGGCCCUAUACCGAUCCUCCACGUUCGAUUCCAGCAAGCUCUCUCAGUUGAAGACCAUGACGAGAAAGACUGUUCUAUUUUCCUCGUUUUCCGGACAAUCAAGGAUUAAACUUUUGUGCUUUCAGGGUCAUCGUAGGUUUCCCAGUUUCGAGAUGCCCUACAGUUUAUUUUGUGGAGGUACUCUCCGCAGAUACAGUGGUUCAUGCGAAUCCAAGUCAUUGAUGUAUAGAAUGUUUUGUAGUUAAACCAUGGGAUCGGACGCAGGUCUGGGAAAAGGGAUUUGUAGGCUCUUCCCGCAGUUCCUCUGUAAUACCAGUUACGCCAUUCUAUUAACCACUGUUUGUUUAUUGUGUGUUUCGCGUCGAUUUUAGGUAAUUUUAUUUUGUGGAACUCUCCGAUCUUGGUUGCUUAUUUUGCUAUCCGGUCGACAAUUUCAUUCAUGAUUCCACUAUGUCCUCGGCUCCAGCAAAAAACCUCUUUUUUUUUUGGAGAGACUCCAUGUUAUGAACCAUGUUUACAAUUUGUGUAACUAAAUAGUCGCACUUCGCGUUUGGAUGGAAUUUUUCUAUUUCCCUGAUUGAGCUCAUGCUGCCCAAAAUAAUGCAGAAUCUUACUUUCUUUUUUCAGUCGUAAAGAAACUGAUAAUUAUUCAGCCUUCCGUGGAGGCUUCUAUCAAAUUAAACAGCUGGUAGUUUUUACAUAUAAUUGUCGAUUGCUCGGUAAGGUCUUUUAGUCUUAGAAAUACAAACAAAAUAAAGGGUAAAUAAUAUAAAAAAGACAUAAUAUAAAUAAAGUGUAAGUAAAAUUAUUGUAGAGCAGAAAUACUUUUGAAAUAAACAGGCUUAGAAAUGUAUGUAACUGUACCCAUGCACAUAACAAAAGUAUGUAAAUAUAGCAGGGCAUUUGUUUUUCUAAGUGGCUUGUUUGUCUUACGUUAUAAUUAUGAAAUUCACUAGUUUCGUGG
This is a long non-coding RNA of Cimex lectularius (bed bug), 3851 nucleotides long. RefSeq lists it as uncharacterized. NCBI's taxonomy places the organism in Eukaryota, Metazoa, Arthropoda, Insecta, Hemiptera, Cimicidae. The record is from RefSeq and is a predicted model, not a curated record. The transcript is spliced from 4 exons.